GACGAACGCUGGCGGCGUGCUUAACACAUGCAAGUCGAACGGUGAAGCGCCUUCCUUUUUGGUGGGUGUGGAUGAGUGGCGAACGGGUGAGUAACACGUGAGUAACCUGCCCCCUUCUUCUGGAUAACCGCAUGAAAGUGUGGCUAAUACGGGAUAUUCUGGGUCUGUCGCAUGAUGGGUCUGGGAAAGAUAUUGUUUCGGUGGGGGAUGGGCUCGCGGCCUAUCAGCUUGUUGGUGGGGUGAUGGCCUACCAAGGCGGUGACGGGUAGCCGGCCUGGGAGGGUGGACGGUCACACUGGGACUGAGACACGGCCCAGACUGCUACGGGAGGCAGCAGUGGGGAAUAUUGCACAAUGGGCGAAAGCCUGAUGCAGCGACGCCGCGUGAGGGAUGGAGGCCUUCGGGUUGUGAACCUCUUUCGCCAGUGAAGCAGGCCUGCCUCGUUUGUGGGUGGGUUGACGGUAGCUGGAGAAGAAGCGCCGGCUAACUACGUG
Molecule: ribosomal RNA, 494 nt
Filed under: uncultured bacterium
Lineage: Bacteria
Description: partial 16S ribosomal RNA
Rfam family: Bacterial small subunit ribosomal RNA
Source: RNAcentral